This 533-nucleotide long non-coding RNA is filed under the name Olea europaea subsp. europaea. The record is from RNAcentral. Lineage: Eukaryota; Viridiplantae; Streptophyta; Magnoliopsida; Lamiales; Oleaceae.
AUGCAGUUUACUUUGUUGAUGGAGAAUUCAUUCCUCAAUGAUGUACUAUCUCGAAGUUGGCUAUGGUCGAACUAACCGAAAAAAAGAGACAAAUAAAUUCGAUUUAUGUCAAUGUUAAAAUAAAGCAACAGCAAGAGCAAAAUUAUUUUCGAACAUACGAUAGGGAGACAUUACUGUCUUAAUUUACACAGAAAAUCAAAGCCCAUUAUCAAAUGUACCUAAAGACCUUUUAGAACACUGUUUCUUAACCGCAUGAGCUCAUAUUAAUUGGAACCUGGUUCCUCAUGCCUGUAGAAAGCUGUUGGAUGGGUGGAUUUUCUUGCUUGUACCAGGUUUAGGUUUACUGUUGUCACUUAUUUUUUGCACUAUGAUGCCUGCAGCCUUGUUUUUUUGUAUAAUUUGCAGCUCCUCCUUUCUCUUCAGUUUCUCCUUCUGGUUUUUCUGCUGCACAUAAACAUGCGCAUAACUUGCUCCAGUAGAAAACAUUACUGGAGGAAUUAAUAUUCACUGUCUGAAAUUGUUAAAGUGAUUAU